This 201-nucleotide unclassified non-coding RNA is filed under the name Hevea brasiliensis (rubber tree). The record is from RNAcentral. Lineage: Eukaryota; Viridiplantae; Streptophyta; Magnoliopsida; Malpighiales; Euphorbiaceae.
AAAGUGGACAGAGGGAGUAUUUAUUUUACCUUUAAUAAAACGAUUCACAACCACAAAUUUCUAUCAUUCAUUUUGGACCACAAGUUUUAAAAGUGUUCCUUUCUUUCUUAAACUCUGUGUCGAGUCAAACUACCUCACAUAAAAUAAGACGGAGGGAGUAUUUGUAAAGGAUUGUAUUGUAGUGUUUAUAAAUAGGUCUCA